CAAGUCGUGGGGCAGCAGGGGUGUAGCAAUACAUCUGCUGGCGACCGGCAAACGGGUGCGUAACACGUACGCAACCUUCCCGUUACUGUGGCAUAGCCCAGGGAAACUUGGAUUAAUACCACAUAUUAUAUUGAGGGGGCAUCCUCUUGAUAUCAAAGCUUCGGCGGUAACGGAUGGGCGUGCGGUUGAUUAGGUAGUUGGCAGGGUAACGGCCCACCAAGCCUACGAUCAAUAGCUGAUGUGAGAGCAUGAUCAGCCACACGGGCACUGAGACACGGGCCCGACUCCUACGGGAGGCAGCAGUAAGGAAUAUUGGGCAAUGGACGAAAGUCUGACCCAGCCAUGCCGCGUGAAGGAUUAAGGUCCUCUGGAUUGUAAACUUCUUUUCUCUGGGGCGAAAAACAGCUAUUCUUAGUUGCUUGACAGUACCAGAGGAAUAAGCACCGGCUAACUCCGUGCCAGCAGCCGCGGUAAUACGGAGGGUGCAAGCGUUAUCCGGAUUCACUGGGUUUAAAGGGUGCGUAGGUGGGCCAGUAAGUCAGUGGUGAAAUCCCCGAGCUUAACUCGGGAACUGCCGUUGAUACUAUUGGUCUUGAAUAUCGUGGAGGUAAGCGGAAUAUGUCAUGUAGCGGUGAAAUGCUUAGAUAUGACAUAGAACACCGAUUGCGAAGGCAGCUUGCUACACGGUCAUUGACACUGAGGCACGAAAGCGUGGGGAUCAAACAGGAUUAGAUACCCUGGUAGUCCACGCCCUAAACUAUGGAUACUCGACAUCAGCGAUACACAGUUGGUGUCUGAGCGAAAGCAUUAAGUAUCCCCACCUGGGAAGUACGAUCGCAAGAUUGAAACUCAAAGGAAUUGGCGG
This 865-nucleotide ribosomal RNA is filed under the name uncultured bacterium. RNAcentral describes it as "bacterial SSU rRNA". It matches the Rfam family "Bacterial small subunit ribosomal RNA", at positions 58 to 916 of the family's 1533-position model. The record is from RNAcentral.